AUUUAAAUAGCUUAAUUAGAGCAUAAUAUUGAAGAUAUUAGGGUGAUCGUUAGAUCUUUAAAUA
Molecule: transfer RNA, 64 nt
Filed under: Cybister brevis
Lineage: Eukaryota; Metazoa; Arthropoda; Insecta; Coleoptera; Dytiscidae
Description: tRNA-Phe
Source: RNAcentral